This 253-nucleotide long non-coding RNA is filed under the name Malus domestica (apple). Its description in RNAcentral is "long non-coding RNA (MDOM_LNC013806)". The record is from RNAcentral. Lineage: Eukaryota; Viridiplantae; Streptophyta; Magnoliopsida; Rosales; Rosaceae.
UUUGUGGAUGUGCGAUUGAUCCAAAGGGCCGUUGGGCUUGAUCUAAGGAUGAACGUUCUUCAAGGGCCGUGGACUUGAUCUUGAAGGUGGAUUUGAGCGGAUCUUCAAAUGGGCUUUUGGGCUUGAUCUUUGAAGAACAGUGAUGAACGGAUCUCCAAAGGCUUUUGGGCUUGAUCUUGAAGAACGGUUGGACGUGUGGAUUUAUUGAUGUUGUUGAUCCAAGGGGCCGUCGGGGCUUGAUCUUAGAAGAACG